This 30-nucleotide non-coding RNA is filed under the name Homo sapiens (human). The record is from RNAcentral. Lineage: Eukaryota; Metazoa; Chordata; Mammalia; Primates; Hominidae.
CAGUACAGAGUUUGUCAACAAUUGAGGGCA